AUGCGCCCAGCUGAUGAAGCAAAGACAACGUUCAAAACACAUCAUGGUCAUUUUCAGUUUCGGGUAAUGCCUUUCGGCCUCACCAACGCACCGGCUACCUUUCAGUGUGUCAUGAACUCAAUAUUUGCUCCAUUCCUACGCAAGUUUGUGAUAGUGUUUUUGGACGACAUACUGGUCUACAGUGCUUCAUGGACCCUGCAUUUGCAACACCUGCGCCUUGUGCUGGAAACACUGCGGAACUCACAAUUCUUUGCCAAAUUGACCAAAUGUUCCGUCGGCCAACAAAGCAUUCAGUACCUCGGCCAUAUUAUCUCUUCUGAGGGUGUGGCUACUGAUCCUGAGAAGACAACAACAAUGGAACAAUGGCCAUUACCAACAACAGCGACUGAACUGCGUGGUUUCCUCGGCCUGACAGGAUACUAUCGAAAAUUCGUGCAGAAUUAUGGCUUAAUUUCCAAGCCGCUGACCCAGUUACUCACCAAAAAGGGUUUUGAGUGGAAUGAUCAAGCGACUGAGGCCUUUAUGACAUUGAAAUCUGUGAUGGCUCGUACCCCUGUUCUCGCCCUUCCGGAUUUCUCUGUGCCUUUCGCCGUCGAGACAGAUGCCUGUGACACAGGUGUGGGGGCAGUACUGAUGCAACGGGGUCACCCUAUUGCAUACAUGAGCAAAGCCUUGGGUGUUAUGAAUCGCAAGUUAUCAAUCUACGAGAAAGAAUUCCUCGCAGUGAUCAUGGCGAUCGACAAAUGGCGUCAGUACCUACAGCGAGGUCCAUUCACCAUCUUGACAGACCAUAAGAGCCUUUGCAAUCUCACUGAUCAGCAAGUCACGUCCGAUUUGCAGCGCAAAGCUAUGGCAAAAUUAAUUGGUUUGCAAUUUCAGUUCAAAUACAAGCGUGGCGUGGAUAAUGGGGCUGCAGAUUCUCUGUCCCGUGUCGCUCAUCGGUUUGAAACCCAAACCCUUUCAGUUUGCCGGCCAGACUAG
Molecule: ribosomal RNA, 981 nt
Filed under: Triticum aestivum (bread wheat)
Lineage: Eukaryota; Viridiplantae; Streptophyta; Magnoliopsida; Poales; Poaceae
Description: partial small subunit ribosomal RNA
Source: RNAcentral